UGCUUUCUCUCUCAUUCCUCACACAUCUCACAAAACAACAUCAGAUCUUCUCUCUCUCUUCUCUCUCUCUCUCUCGGCGAUCUAGGGUUUCAUGAGAUCUAUCACCAGAUCCGUUUGAAUCUAUCACCAGAUCCGUUUGAUGAGCAGAUCUAGGGUUUCAUGAGAUCUAUCACAAGCUUUAUCUGGCAACUUGAUGUCGAAGGCACCAAGGGAUCCACAGAUUUGAACAAGGGAUCCACAGAUUUGCUGGAGAAUGGCCGGAAUCAGGUGACUGUCUGUCCAUGAAUCUCUCUGGAAUCAUGUUUCGGAUGAAGGUAAACACACAAAUCGAUCCAGUUUCAAGUUUAUGUUACUCUGUUGAGAUUAUGAAAUUCUUGAACGAUCGUAGCAUAUUGAUGAGAUUGUAUGUUUUCUUUCAUCUACUUUUGAUGUGUUUUAUGUUUAAAGAUUCUUUUUUUUGGUGAUUAUUAGCACCAAGGAUGAGGGGCAGCAGUCG
This 496-nucleotide long non-coding RNA is filed under the name Helianthus annuus (common sunflower). Lineage: Eukaryota; Viridiplantae; Streptophyta; Magnoliopsida; Asterales; Asteraceae. The record is from RNAcentral.